RNAcentral lists this ribosomal RNA (274 nucleotides) under uncultured bacterium. RNAcentral describes it as "partial 16S ribosomal RNA". It matches the Rfam family "Bacterial small subunit ribosomal RNA", at positions 523 to 796 of the family's 1533-position model. The record is from RNAcentral.
AUACGGAGGGUGCAAGCGCUAUUCGGAAUCACUGGGCGUAAAGGACGCGUAGGCGGGUUGGCAAGUCAGAUGUGAAAUCCUACAGCUUAACUGUAGAACUGCAUUUGAAACUGCUAACCUAGAGUAUGGGAGGGGGAGAUGGAAUUAGUGGUGUAGGGGUAAAAUCCGUAGAUAUCACUAGGAAUACCGAAAGCGAAGGCGAUCUCCUGGAACAUAACUGACGCUAAGGCGUGAAAGCGUGGGGAGCAAACAGGAUUAGAAACCCUAGUAGUCC